GACGAACGCUGGCGGCGUGCUUAACACAUGCAAGUCGAACGGAAAGGCCCUGCUUUUGUGGGGUGCUCGAGUGGCGAACGGGUGAGUAACACGUGAGUAACCUGCCCUUGACUUUGGGAUAACUUCAGGAAACUGGGGCUAAUACCGGAUAGGAGCUCCUGCUGCAUGGUGGGGGUUGGAAAGUUUCGGCGGUUGGGGAUGGACUCGCGGCUUAUCAGCUUGUUGGGGGGGUAGUGGCUUACCAAGGCUUUGACGGGUAGCCGGCCUGAGAGGGUGACCGGCCCCAUUGGGACUGCGAUACGGCCCAGACUCCUACGGGAGGCAGCAGUGGGGAAUAUUGCACAAUGGGCGGAAGCCUGAUGCAGCAACGCCGCGUGCGGGAUGACGGCCUUCGGGUUGUAAACCGCUUUCGCCUGUGACGAAGCGUGAGUGACGGUAAUGGGUAAAGAAGCACCGGCUAACUACGUG
This 468-nucleotide ribosomal RNA is filed under the name uncultured bacterium. RNAcentral describes it as "partial 16S ribosomal RNA". It matches the Rfam family "Bacterial small subunit ribosomal RNA", at positions 28 to 507 of the family's 1533-position model. The record is from RNAcentral.